Molecule: long non-coding RNA, 796 nt
Organism: Oreochromis aureus
Lineage: Eukaryota; Metazoa; Chordata; Actinopteri; Cichliformes; Cichlidae
Source: Ensembl
GGGAUAAAGAAUUGUGGAAGAGCACUGGACAUUGAGUGAUAUUUUGCCACGCUGGGACUUAAUCUGAAAGAAAAGACUGUAAAGAAACAGAGAAGAAGACAGCAGCUGAGUUGAGACUGUGUUUGCUGGAGCUUUGAAGCCCGAAUAGGACAUUGUGCAGAGAGGACCAGUGAGAGAUGAAGCUGGACGAGUUUGACUGUGAGAAUAUAGGAUAUAAUUGGAUUGAAAAUUGAAGCCUGAACUCAUGAAUUGUUUAGGGAUGUCCACUACAGCAUAACAAAGAGGUAAACAUUAGAAAAGAGUUGAUGUUCUAUCCAAGAGGGUUUUAAGCUUCACUGGUGAGAGUGUCCAGGUGAUACAUGUUGAGGGAAGAUGAGAACAUAGCAGGUGAAUUGCAUGCACGCUUACAAACACACAUGAUUUAAAUAUAGGCCAGGCCAAAGGCCUGGACUUGAUGCAGCUUUCAACUUUACAGCUCCUAACUUGCAGGAAUGGCGGGGAGUGUAAUGAAUGAAUGCAAAACAUGCUUACAGACACAAACAUGACAGGGGUUUAUUUUACAGGGUAAAGGUGGACCACAGGUUGCUUUGUUUCUGCUUAGCAACUACUGAGGUAAAUGGUGUUAAAGAUAAAUAUGCAAUAAGUGAACAAGAAAUGUGUGAGGGUGAGCCGGGUGAAACAAAAUGUUGUAGAUAAUGGAAACUUGUCUAACGGGCAUUAACAGUAACCUUUGCAUGUUAUGUAUAUGCUUGAGGCCAAAGGAGGCAUAAAUCCAGAUAGAAAACUUUGAAGUGUG